This 84-nucleotide transfer RNA is filed under the name Gammaproteobacteria bacterium. RNAcentral's name for it is "tRNA-Leu". It matches the Rfam family "tRNA". Rfam says of the family: Transfer RNA (tRNA) molecules are approximately 80 nucleotides in length. Their secondary structure includes four short double-helical elements and three loops (D, anti-codon, and T loops). RNAcentral also lists the same sequence under 1 other name. Lineage: Bacteria; Pseudomonadati; Pseudomonadota; Gammaproteobacteria. The record is from RNAcentral.
GCGAAAGUGGCGGAAUUGGUAGACGCGCUAGAUUUAGGUUCUAGUAUCUUUGAUGUGAGAGUUCGAGUCUCUCCUUUCGCACCA